GACGAACGCUGGCGGCGUGCCUAAUACAUGCAAGUCGAACGAACCGCGACUGAGUGCUUGCACUUGGUCAAGGUGAGUGGCGAACGGGUGAGUAACACGUGGGUAACCUACCUCAUAGUGGGGGAUAACAGUCGGAAACGACUGCUAAUACCGCAUAGGACAUAGGAUCACAUGAUCCAGUGAGGAAAGGUGGCGCAAGCUAUCGCUAAGAGAUGGACCCGCGGUGCAUUAGCUAGUUGGUAGGGUAAAGGCCUACCAAGGCGAUGAUGCAUAGUCGACCUGAGAGGGUGAUCGGCCACAUUGGGACUGAGACACGGCCCAAACUCCUACGGGAGGCAGCAGUAGGGAAUCUUCCGCA
This 358-nucleotide ribosomal RNA is filed under the name Abiotrophia defectiva. RNAcentral's name for it is "bacterial SSU rRNA". It matches the Rfam family "Bacterial small subunit ribosomal RNA", at positions 28 to 370 of the family's 1533-position model. Lineage: Bacteria; Bacillati; Bacillota; Bacilli; Lactobacillales; Aerococcaceae. The record is from RNAcentral.